Long non-coding RNA from Mauremys reevesii (Reeves's turtle), 1498 nucleotides. RefSeq lists it as uncharacterized. NCBI's taxonomy places the organism in Eukaryota, Metazoa, Chordata, Testudines, Geoemydidae. The transcript is spliced from 12 exons. The record is from RefSeq and is a predicted model, not a curated record.
CCAUUUUGCUUCUGACGGCUGUAGGUUACAUCUUCCUCUCCUCUAGCUGGCAACUGAAGAUAAGACUAUCCAAAGGACUGUGGUGUUGGGCUUGGAGGACUUUCUCACUGAGUUCCUUACUUGCAGAGAGAUAAGAAGCCUAUAUUACUGUGAUGCUGGCAGACCAGAUUUGCAGAUUUGGCCUGUGUCUCCACAAAUGAGUAAUCCAAUCUGUGAUGCAGAUACUGAAGAACAGAGAGGUCAAUAGCCUGAGUUUUCAGGAGUCCCAAGUUUCCAUAGCUACAAUGAAGUCAAUGGGAGCUGCAGGUGCUCAGCACAUCUUAAAAACAGGCUGCAGGAUCGGUGACAUGUUCCAUCAUGAUGAGCAAAGUGCCACCUUAGAGCUCUGAGUCAGUGACGGGAACUGGCCACUCAUAAGAAGGGUCAAGGACCAUAGCAAAUUAAAAACCAAUCUAACCCAGAGGCAGAAAGAAGUACAGUACCAGAUGCUUUAUUGGAAAACUGUGCUAAUUACAUAGGUGAAGACAGACAACGGAGCAGGAAUUCAGAUUGAAGGUGGUGAAAGAUGGAUUGAAGUAGGUGUCCCUCAAAAAAUAGUCCUGCAGACUAAGCACCACCACUGCAACAGCUCAAGUACCUCUUGACUUAGCUGCAGUUGAUGAACCUACAAGUGUUCAAGAAAAACUCUAUCUAUACCUUGUUGCAACUGAGGUCACAAAGCUUAACUUAAGAGUGACCAGACUUUGAAGGUGAAAAUACCUGAGCAUUCACUCCAAAAAUCCUAGCAGUUGUGCUUAGCACCAAAAAAGAAAAGUCAUAAAUAGCUGCUGGAAUAGCUUCAACCACCACUGACAUACAGCUAUGAUGGAGUUCCACAGUACAGUGCAGAGCUUUGGAGAACCGUUCAGAAGAAGAAGUGGGGAAUAAUGCCAUCACUAGUUAAAACUCAUGAAAUUGGAAUCUCUAACGACUAUAAGGUGAAAGAAGGACAUUGGGUUUACAUCUCAUCCAAAGUACCACACCUCCAGAAGCACAGAUUCUGGUAGCACCAUGCUAAGAAAUGGAUUAAGUACUGACUCAAAGGGAAGAGUGCCACCUAUUGAAUAACUAACCGCCUCAAGGAGUGGAAUUAUACAUUAUCCAAGAAUCUGCAAUAGCCUAGGGUUAUAAGUGUGAAUUAUUUUUCUCUUGAAUGGAUGGCACGCAACAUUAAUUAUUGUUAUGCGGAGUUUGCAUAUUAUUCUUAGUGGAUUCAUACUGUCACCAAAAUGACCCACAAAACAUUACAGGGAAUGCUUGGCAGUUCGUAUUAAUAGAAGUGCAGAUGUAGGUGGUGACCAUCAUCUUGUAUUGAGCAAGCUUCAGAUAAAAUUGAGAAAGACGAAGAAAGUUUAUGGGCAACAAAGACAGUGUUAUGUGAUGUAGAAUUGGAGGAGGUGAACGACUUCAAAUAUCUUGGUAGUUACAUAUCGGCUGAUGGCAAUAUUCAGAAGGAGCU